ACGCCGUUGGUGAAAUGGUUAUCAUGCUUGCCUUCCAUAAGCAAGCGGCGGGGGUUCGAUUCCCUCACGGCGUA
Molecule: transfer RNA, 74 nt
Filed under: Rhizoctonia solani AG-1 IB
Lineage: Eukaryota; Fungi; Basidiomycota; Agaricomycetes; Cantharellales; Ceratobasidiaceae
Description: tRNA-Gly
Rfam family: tRNA
About the family: Transfer RNA (tRNA) molecules are approximately 80 nucleotides in length. Their secondary structure includes four short double-helical elements and three loops (D, anti-codon, and T loops).
Source: RNAcentral